Molecule: ribosomal RNA, 549 nt
Filed under: Meyerozyma guilliermondii
Lineage: Eukaryota; Fungi; Ascomycota; Pichiomycetes; Serinales; Debaryomycetaceae
Description: eukaryotic LSU rRNA
Rfam family: Eukaryotic large subunit ribosomal RNA
Source: RNAcentral
AAAGCGGCGAGUGAAGCGGCAAAAGCUCAAAUUUGAAAUCUGGCGCCUUCGGUGUCCGAGUUGUAAUUUGAAGAUUGUAACCUUGGGGUUGGCUCUUGUCUAUGUUUCUUGGAACAGGACGUCACAGAGGGUGAGAAUCCCGUGCGAUGAGAUGCCCAAUUCUAUGUAAGGUGCUUUCGAAGAGUCGAGUUGUUUGGGAAUGCAGCUCUAAGUGGGUGGUAAAUUCCAUCUAAAGCUAAAUAUUGGCGAGAGACCGAUAGCGAACAAGUACAGUGAUGGAAAGAUGAAAAGAACUUUGAAAAGAGAGUGAAAAAGUACGUGAAAUUGUUGAAAGGGAAGGGUUUGAGAUCAGACUCCAUAUUUUGUGAGCCUUGCCUUCGUGGCGGGGUGACCCGCAGCUUAUCGGGCCAGCAUCGGUUUGGGCGGUAGGAUAAUGGCGUAGGAAUGUGACUUUACUUCGGUGAAGUGUUAUAGCCUGCGUUGAUGCUGCCUGCCUAGACCGAGGACUGCGAUUUUAUCAAGGAUGCUGGCAUAAUGAUCCCAAACCGC